This 798-nucleotide ribosomal RNA is filed under the name uncultured bacterium. RNAcentral describes it as "bacterial SSU rRNA". It matches the Rfam family "Bacterial small subunit ribosomal RNA", at positions 8 to 796 of the family's 1533-position model. The record is from RNAcentral.
AGAGUUUGAUCCUGGCUCAGAACGAACGCUGGCGGCGUGCUUAACACAUGCAAGUCGAACGCGAAAUUUUUCUUCGGAAAGAGAGUAGAGUGGCGCACGGGUGAGUAACGCGUAAGUUAUCUACCUCGGCAUCUGGAAUAACUCACCGAAAGGUGUGCUAAUACCGGAUACGUUGAGUAAUCAAGAAAGGUGGCCUCUGAAUAUGCUACUGUGCUGAGAUGAGCUUGCGUACCAUUAGCUAGUUGGUAGGGUAAUGGCCUACCAAGGCGACGAUCAGUAGCCGGCCUGAGAGGGUGAACGGCCACACUGGGACUGAGACACGGCCCAGACUCCUACGGGAGGCAGCAGUGGGGAAUCUUCCGCAAUGGACGAAAGUCUGACGGAGCAACGCCGCGUGUAUGAUGAAGGUCUUCGGAUUGUAAAGUACUGUCUUUGGGGAAGAAUGACUGAUUUGAGAAUAUUGAGUCAGUAUGACGGUACCCAAGGAGGAAGCCCCGGCUAACUACGUGCCAGCAGCCGCGGUAAUACGUAGGGGGCAAGCGUUGUCCGGAAUUAUUGGGCGUAAAGGGCGCGUAGGCGGAUAGUUAAGUCCGGUGUGAAAGAUCAGGGCUCAACCCUGAGAGUGCAUCGGAAACUGGUUAUCUUGAGGACAGGAGAGGAAAGUGGAAUUCCACGUGUAGCGGUGAAAUGCGUAGAUAUGUGGAGGAACACCAGUGGCGAAGGCGACUUUCUGGACUGUAACUGACGCUGAGGCGCGAAAGCGUGGGGAGCAAACAGGAUUAGAUACCCUGGUAGUCC